AUUGAACGCUGGCGGCAUGCCUUACACAUGCAAGUCGAACGGCAGCACGGGUGCUUGCACCUGGUGGCGAGUGGCGAACGGGUGAGUAAUACAUCGGAACAUGUCCUGUAGUGGGGGAUAGCCCGGCGAAAGCCGGAUUAAUACCGCAUACGAUCUACGGAUGAAAGCGGGGGACCUUCGGGCCUCGCGCUAUAGGGUUGGCCGAUGGCUGAUUAGCUAGUUGGUGGGGUAAAGGCCUACCAAGGCGACGAUCAGUAGCUGGUCUGAGAGGACGACCAGCCACACUGGGACUGAGACACGGCCCAGACUCCUACGGGAGGCAGCAGUGGGGAAUUUUGGACAAUGGGCGAAAGCCUGAUCCAGCAAUGCCGCGUGUGUGAAGAAGGCCUUCGGGUUGUAAAGCACUUUUGUCCGGAAAGAAAUCCUUGGCUCUAAUACAGUCGGGGGAUGACGAUACCGGAAGAAUAAGCACCGGCUAACUACGUG
Molecule: ribosomal RNA, 486 nt
Filed under: uncultured bacterium
Lineage: Bacteria
Description: partial 16S ribosomal RNA
Rfam family: Bacterial small subunit ribosomal RNA
Source: RNAcentral